UACGGAAGGUCCGGGCGUUAUCCGGAUUUAUUGGGUUUAAAGGGAGCGUAGGCUGGUAUUUAAGCGUGACGUGAAAUGUACGGGCUCAACCUGUGCCUUGCGUCGCGAACUGGGUCCCUUGAGUAAUCAGUAGGCGGGCGGAAUUCGUGGUGUAGCGGUGAAAUGCUUAGAUAUCACGAGGAACUCCGAUUGCGAAGGCAGCUCGCUGUUGUUUUACUGACGCUGAAGCUCGAAGGCGCGGGUAUCGAAC
This 250-nucleotide ribosomal RNA is filed under the name uncultured prokaryote. RNAcentral's name for it is "partial 16S ribosomal RNA". It matches the Rfam family "Bacterial small subunit ribosomal RNA", at positions 524 to 773 of the family's 1533-position model. The record is from RNAcentral.